This is a long non-coding RNA of Drosophila mojavensis, 714 nucleotides long. RefSeq lists it as uncharacterized. Lineage: Eukaryota; Metazoa; Arthropoda; Insecta; Diptera; Drosophilidae. The record is from RefSeq and is a predicted model, not a curated record. The transcript has 2 exons.
GUGAGAGUUCACAUGAUCUCUGUAGGUCUCCCAGGCUGGGGUCUACCUUUAGCUGUCCGCUGUCUGCAGUCCGCUGUUGGACAGCGUCGUCUGUCGGCUGUCGGCGAACGGGUGUGCCAUUUCCUAAUGAAGUUAUUCUCAUGCAGCGACCGCACUGCGAUGCCCGCUAUCUGGCAGAGCUAUUGCCAAUAUCUAUUGGCAAGUGGAGAAACAAUAACGGCAAGUGCCCCUUCGACUUGCAUUAGAUUUCUAUUUUAUUUUAUUUUAUUUUUUGGCCACUUUGGGCACAUAAAAUAAAAUCAAAUGAUGCGUUGAAAGCGGCGCAGUCCAGCAGCUACAAUAGAAGGCCGAGGGAUGUCAGAGUCAUGUGUGGUUGGCUGAGUGGCCGCCCGGGGGUGUGGCACUUUUUGGUUGAAUAGACAACGCAGAUGCCAACAGCCAACAGCCAACAGCCAGUGGCCAGUGGCCAGGACAAGGCAAGUGCCUUCAUGUGGUUAUUUCCGAGCAGUCGCCGUUUGUCCAUUUGAUGAUUUUUGCGUCACCGUUGCUCGAAAUCAUUCCGAGCGCAAGCAACUGGAAACUGUAUAAAAAUAAUGAAAAUCACAAAAAAAAAAAAAGAAGCUGUACGCAGAGAGCGAACAGAAAAAAAAAAAAACGCAACGCACCAACUUGAAAUAAAUGGUCAAAAGAAAUAAACAGUCCCAUAAAGAAUAA